UCAGCUCAUAGCGUAUAUUAAGUUGUUGCGGUUAAAAAGCUCGUAGUUGGAUCUCAGCUCACGCUAAGUGGUCCACCUAAUGGUGGUUACUACUUAGCUGAGCAUUUUACAGAUUUGUCUCUUGAUGCUCUUCACCGAGUGUCAAGAGUGGUCUGUACGUUUACUUUGAAAAAAUUAGAGUGCUUAAAGCAGGCAACUCGCCCGAAUAAUCUUGCAUGGAAUAAUGGAAUAGGACCUUGGUUCUAUUUUGUUGGUCUCCGGAAUCUGAGGUAAUGAUUAAGAGGGACAGACGGGGGCAUUCGUAUUGCGCCGCUAGAGGUGAAAUUCUUGGACCGGCGCAAGACGAACUACAGCGAAAGCAUUUGCCAAGAAUGUUUUCAUUAAUCAAGAACGAAAGUUAGAGGUUCGAAGGCGAUCAGAUACCGCCCUAGUU
RNAcentral lists this ribosomal RNA (433 nucleotides) under Eutrombicula goeldii. RNAcentral's name for it is "SSU rRNA". It matches the Rfam family "Eukaryotic small subunit ribosomal RNA", at positions 585 to 1025 of the family's 1831-position model. The record is from RNAcentral. Lineage: Eukaryota; Metazoa; Arthropoda; Arachnida; Trombidiformes; Trombiculidae.